This 238-nucleotide ribosomal RNA is filed under the name uncultured bacterium. RNAcentral's name for it is "partial 16S ribosomal RNA". It matches the Rfam family "Bacterial small subunit ribosomal RNA", at positions 524 to 759 of the family's 1533-position model. The record is from RNAcentral.
UACGUAGGGCGCAAGCGUUGUCCGGAAUUAUUGGGCGUAAAGAGCUCGUAGGCGGUUUGUCGCGUCUGCUGUGAAAACCUAAGGCUCAACCUUGGGCUUGCAGUGGGUACGGGCAGACUAGAGUGCGGUAGGGGUGACUGGAAUUCCUGGUGUAGCGGUGGAAUGCGCAGAUAUCAGGAGGAACACCGAUGGCGAAGGCAGGUCUCUGGGCAUUAAACUGACGCUGGAGGAGCGGAAA